UUAAGUUCAGCGGGUAUCCCUACCUGAUCCGAGGUCAAGAGUGUAAAAUGUACUUUUUGGACGUCGUCGUUAUGAGUGCAAAGCGCGAGAUGUACUGCGCUCCGAAAUCAAUACGCCGGCUGCCAAUUGUUUUAAGGCGAGUCUACACGCAAAGGCGAGACAAACACCCAACACCAAGCAGAGCUUGAUGGUUGAAAUGA
This 200-nucleotide unclassified non-coding RNA is filed under the name Epicoccum sp. RNAcentral describes it as "partial internal transcribed spacer 2". Lineage: Eukaryota; Fungi; Ascomycota; Dothideomycetes; Pleosporales; Didymellaceae. The record is from RNAcentral.